GACGGAUGGGCUGGGACGGGUUUGGGGGGGGUGUCCCCAAUUCUGACUGGGAGUGGAGGAGCCCCCUCAUGUGCUCUCUUGUGGGGGUCCCCCCUCCCUAGGGCACUCCCCACUCCCUGAGCCAGCCGAGAGGAAGGAGGCCAGCGAUGCGACUGGGGCGGCUCCUUUCUCCUGCACCCCAAAUGUGAGGGAUGCACCCCAAAUUUUGUUCCCUUCAAAAUAGGGGACCAGGAUCUCAGGGGAGAGUAGCUGAGGGUUCUCGUUUUCCUGAAGCCUUGCAGCCACUUAGGGCAAAUGGAGCCUGAAGAGUGGAGUCCAACUGAGAGUGGGAAAGGCCCGUCUUCUACUUCUCUUCUGGGAGAGAUGUGUGAAUGUGGAAGGCUACCAGUUCUCGAGGGACUUUGUUGCUAACAAAACUAGCAACAAAGUAGGAAAGAUGUUGAGCUGGAAGGGAGUUUGAGGAAGAUGGAACAAUGGGUGUGGAGGAAGAAAGCUGCCCACCCGCCCUUUCUCUGCCAGCCAACCCUCCCUCACACUGUCCGUUCCUUGAUGACACAGCUGAUGUGAUUAAGAUCGUCCCCAAAUCGCUUCACAGCAGCCCUCAGCAUCUCUAUCUCCGUCUCCGUCCACUUGGCACUGUCAGAAGGGGAGAAGGGAAUAGCGAAAGUGGGAGGAAGAGGGGUGUGGAGCCAGCCCACAGGCUACGCAUUCCACAGCAACCAGCCUCCUCCCCGCAAGGCCUGGGGCCCCUUCCAUAAAGAGGUCUUCCUUAAAAAAACAAAAACAAAAGCAAAAAACAAAAUUCUUAAGGCGCCGU
This is a long non-coding RNA of Balaenoptera acutorostrata (minke whale), 817 nucleotides long. RefSeq lists it as uncharacterized. The record is from RefSeq and is a predicted model, not a curated record. NCBI's taxonomy places the organism in Eukaryota, Metazoa, Chordata, Mammalia, Artiodactyla, Balaenopteridae. The transcript is spliced from 3 exons.